Non-coding RNA from Camelina sativa (false flax), 302 nucleotides. The record is from RefSeq and is a predicted model, not a curated record. NCBI's taxonomy places the organism in Eukaryota, Viridiplantae, Streptophyta, Magnoliopsida, Brassicales, Brassicaceae.
CACGUUGCCAACACCCCCCCGAUCUACGACUCUCUCUCUCUCCAAUCUCUCUACGCCACAGAAUCCUCGAUUUACCAAAAAAAUCACAAAAAAUCUCCGAUCGUUAACGGCGACCGCCGAUUUUCCCGGUAAAAGAUGAACGACGGAGAUGUAUCUAGGCAGAUCCAGCAGAUGGUGAGAUUCAUCCGCCAAGAAGCCGAGGAGAAGGCCAACGAGAUCUCAGUUUCUGCUGAAGAAGAAUUCAACAUUGAGAAACUUCAACUAGUUGAGGCGGAGAAGAAGAAGAUCAGGCAAGAUUAUGA